UCCCGUGUAGCUCAGUUGGUAGAGCAUGGCACAAGCGCCAGGGUGGUGGGUUCGAUUCCCACGAGGGAA
Molecule: transfer RNA, 69 nt
Filed under: Salmo salar (Atlantic salmon)
Lineage: Eukaryota; Metazoa; Chordata; Actinopteri; Salmoniformes; Salmonidae
Rfam family: tRNA
About the family: Transfer RNA (tRNA) molecules are approximately 80 nucleotides in length. Their secondary structure includes four short double-helical elements and three loops (D, anti-codon, and T loops).
Source: Rfam by way of RNAcentral